AGAGUUUGAUCCUGGCUCAGGAUGAACGCUGGCGGCGUGCCUAAUACAUGCAAGUCGAACGCUUUGUGGUUCAACUGAUUUGAAGAGCUUGCUCAGAUAUGACGAUGGACAUUGCAAAGAGUGGCGAACGGGUGAGUAACACGUGGGAAACCUACCUCUUAGCAGGGGAUAACAUUUGGAAACAGAUGCUAAUACCGUAUAACAAUGACAACCGCAUGGUUGUUAUUUAAAAGAUGGUUCUGCUAUCACUAAGAGAUGGUCCCGCGGUGCAUUAGCUAGUUGGUAAGGUAAUGGCUUACCAAGGCGAUGAUGCAUAGCCGAGUUGAGAGACUGAUCGGCCACAAUGGGACUGAGACACGGCCCAUACUCCUACGGGAGGCAGCAGUAGGGAAUCUUCCACAAUGGGCGAAAGCCUGAUGGAGCAACGCCGCGUGUGUGAUGAAGGGUUUCGGCUCGUAAAACACUGUUGUAAGAGAAGAAUGACAUUGAGAGUAACUGUUCAAUGUGUGACGGUAUCUUACCAGAAAGGAACGGCUAAAUACGUGCCAGCAGCCGCGGUAAUACGUAUGUUCCAAGCGUUAUCCGGAUUUAUUGGGCGUAAAGCGAGCGCAGACGGUUAUUUAAGUCUGAAGUGAAAGCCCUCAGCUCAACUGAGGAAUUGCUUUGGAAACUGGAUGACUUGAGUGCAGUAGAGGAAAGUGGAACUCCAUGUGUAGCGGUGAAAUGCGUAGAUAUAUGGAAGAACACCAGUGGCGAAAGGCGGCUUUCUGGACUGUAACUGACGUUGAGGCUCGAAAGGGUGGGUAGCAAACUGGAUUAGAUUACCCUGGUAGUCCACCACGGUAAACGAUGAGUGGCGAGGUGUUUGAGGGUUUCCGCCCUUAAGUGCCGCAGCUAACGCAUUAAGCACUCCGCCUGGGGAGUACGACCGCAAGGUUGAAACUCAAAGGAAUUGACGGGGACCCGCACAAGCGGUGGAGCAUGUGGUUUAAUUUGAAGCAACGCGAAGACCCUUACCAGGUCUUGACAUCCCUUGACAACUCCAAAGAUGGAGCGUUCCCUUCGGGGACAAGGUGACAGGUGGUGCAUGGUUGUCGUCAGCUCGUGUCGUGAGAUGUUGGGUUAAGUCCCGCAACGAGCGCAACCCUUAUUACUAGUUGCCAGCAUUCAGUUGGGCACUCUAGUAAGACUGCCGGUGACAAACCGGAGGAAGGUGGGGAUGACGUCAAAUCAUCAUGCCCCUUAUGACCUGGGCUACACACGUGCUACAAUGGCGUAUACAACGAGUUGCCAACCCGCGAGGGUGAGCUAAUCUCUUAAAGUACGUCUCAGUUCGGAUUGUAGGCUGCAACUCGCCUACAUGAAGUCGGAAUCGCUAGUAAUCGCGGAUCAGCACGCCGCGGCGAAUACGUUCCCGGGUCUUGCACACACCGCCCGUCA
This 1440-nucleotide ribosomal RNA is filed under the name uncultured bacterium. Its description in RNAcentral is "bacterial SSU rRNA". It matches the Rfam family "Bacterial small subunit ribosomal RNA". The record is from RNAcentral.